RNAcentral lists this RNase P RNA (372 nucleotides) under Propionibacteriaceae bacterium. Its description in RNAcentral is "RNase P RNA component class A". It matches the Rfam family "Bacterial RNase P class A". From Rfam's summary of the family: Ribonuclease P (RNase P) is a ubiquitous endoribonuclease, found in archaea, bacteria and eukarya as well as chloroplasts and mitochondria. Its best characterised activity is the generation of mature 5'-ends of tRNAs by cleaving the 5'-leader elements of precursor-tRNAs. The record is from RNAcentral. Lineage: Bacteria; Bacillati; Actinomycetota; Actinomycetes; Propionibacteriales; Propionibacteriaceae.
CGAGUCGGUCGGGUGAUCGCGGCUUAACGGCUGAGGAAAGUCCGGACUCCACAGAGCACGGUGGUGGAUAACGUCCACCCAGGGUGACCUGCGGGAAAGUGCCACAGAAAACAGACCGCCCGUAAGGGUAAGGGUGAAACGGCGGUGUAAGAGACCACCAGCGUCCUAGGUGACUAGGACGGCUUGGCAAACCCCACUGGGAGCAAAGGCAAGAAGGGGGCAACCCCGCGGAUACUGUUUGAGCGCUGCUCGCGCAAGGUAUCCGGGUAGCCUGCACGCCGCAAGGCGAAGGCGGCUGGAAACAGUCGUCGCAGACGGAUGAUCACCGCCUCGAAAGAGGUACAGAAUCCGGCUUAUAGACCGACUCGUUCU